Chlorocebus sabaeus (green monkey) is the source of this 1767-nucleotide non-coding RNA. The record is from RefSeq and is a predicted model, not a curated record. NCBI's taxonomy places the organism in Eukaryota, Metazoa, Chordata, Mammalia, Primates, Cercopithecidae.
CAUCUCGGCCUCCCAAAGUGCUGGGAUUACAGGCUUGAGCCACCGCGCCCGGCCAGCCCUGACAUUCUUAACUCCGCAACUUCCCUUGCACCACGAUGGCUGUUCCAUCUCCACACCUGUGUUCCAUCUAUGUCCCAGUCAGGAAGAAGGGCAAGGGAAAGAGGCAUGCACAACUGAGUUCGCCCAACACACCCACAUUCAAAGAGCUUUCCUGGAAGCCCCAGUCAGUCACUUCCCUUAUAUCUCAUCAGGAGGAACUGUUUCUUGGGGCCAUGUGAACAACUAUAGCUGCGAGGAGGCUGGGAAAUAAGAGUUUUACAGCUGGGCACAUUCCUGCUCAAACAAAAAUCAUGAUCCUGUUUGUGAGGAAGAGAAGAUAAAAAUCAGGUAUAGAACCUAAAGAUCAGUAAAUUGCCCAAGAUCACACUGUAGUGGAGGAAUCUGGAUUCGAACCCAAGACAACAGAGCUUCAAAACUCUUCACCACCACAGGGGGCGUAGCAGUAGUGUUUUCCCAGAAGCUUGUUGUACCUGAUCCCAAAGGCAAGUUGUGAGGCUGAAGAAGGAGGUUGCCACAGCUACUAACUGGACCCCUUUUCACGUAAUCAGAUCCUUGGUCUGCUCCAGUUUUGCAAGAGGAGCCACUUGUCUGGAAACUCUCCUCAACACCUGCCCCUGGAGGGAGCCGACUGUGCCUGAAUUAUUUAGAGUCUCUAGACACUUGAUAUAAUGAGCAGAUGAAGAAAUCAAGGUUCAGGUGCUCUCGGUGACAUAGCCAGUUGAAGGGAAAGUACAGACCAGACGCCAGACCUUUACACAGGAGGGAGAGAGUGACCUCAAAGGGGAGUCUGGACUAGUGACUUCUAAGGCCCCUUCCAGACCAAGGCUCUCUUUCUCUCUGCUGCUGUGCUGGUUUCACCCCCUGCAUUCACAGCCCUCCCAAGGUAAGAGAACUUCAGAAACCCAUGAAGUGCUUCUGCCCCAGGUACUUCACUGAGCUCUAGUUUUCUUUCUGUAACUUGCAAAUAGGGCUACAACUCUGACUCUGUGUUUCCAGAUUCUGUUUCAAUGCAGACAAUUAGAUGGUAAAUAAUUCAAGAUAACGGAAACUGGCAAAGUGGUGUGUGAUGUCCAAAUAGCUAUCUUCUUUACCCUCUGGUGUAAACUUCAGGCUCAUCUGCAACUCAGGAGCCCCAGGAGUAAGUGAAAUGUACAAACACAGGAAUCUCCCCUGUUUCCAUUCCCCUCAUUUUAAAAUAUUGUUUGGGGGUGGGAAUGCAGUUUAAUCAAAGAUUAAGGUAAGACAGUUUGGCUUUGGACGACAGAUUCAGACAACUUCUUAGGCAUGUCUGAAUUUCUUCCCAUGGUGGAGUAGAGUGAUCAGAAUCCAGAGGCAUCAGUUUCUCCUUGACCUGAGGAUUCAUGAUCCAAAGUUGUGGUCUCAGAAAUAUCACCAUUCAUCCUCUUUCUCUUCCUUCUGGGCAAUGAGGGAGACACAUUUCACUGGACCCUUCUAAACUGCCCCACCAUUAAAGAAGUAGUCUUAGUUAAGACCCAUUGAAUUACAGGUAACGUAAACCACCUCUGCCCUGCCUAAGAAGAAAAGGAUAAUGUAUUAUAUGGACAUAGGGGUGUCUUAUAAAGCCCAAGGGCAAAGAAAAUAGAGAUGGACCAGCCUCUUAAGAAAUUGGAGCUAGAGGCGUCAUGUUACAGGACUUCAAAAUAUAUUACAAGGCGAUAGUAACCAAAACAGCAUGGUAUUUGUAUA